UUCCCCCUCUGUGAGUGGAAACCCCACAUCCCCCCCAAAGAAUUAGCUCAUUUUUUAGUAUUAUUAUUUGCUAUUGUUGUUGUUCUCCAAGAACUGUUCAAGACAUGGCAUUUGUCUAGCAUCCUUGAACACUUAUCUCCCUCAUCAGUUGUCACAGACUCUAAUGCAAAUGCAAACGGUGCUGGACAGACGUACCUGAGUGAAAGAGGAGCUUCCAUAGACACUGUUGGUGGUCCUGUAGCAGUAUUUGCGGUACUUGGUCCACGUGUCCUUAUCAAUCUACAAGCAUAUUCACAAACGCGGGAAAUGGGACUUAAAAAAUACUGGCUAUAUAUAUGAACACGACUUUUGAAAAAGUAAAGAGAAAAAAAGGACCGGGAGAGAGACCUUUGAUCUGAUCUGUCCUCUAAAUUCCAAUUAAUCGGCAACAAGAAUAAAUAUGCAUUGUUUAAGUUCAAUUUAUUUCUUUGUCCCAAAUGGGCAAUUUGAUUGCAGACAGGAUCACAUACCACACGACAAUAGACACAACACAAUACAAUACAGACAAAUAUGCACAAAAUAAUAAUUUAGUUGUGAUAAACAGGUCUGACAAUGCCUAAAAAGUCAGUUUUACUGACUAGCCACUCUUGAUGUCCACAAAGGGCCUGAAUCUGCGGGCGGACGCUGGUUGGUGUGGGCACACUAAAGAGGAAGAGAUGGCAUGACUCCGGAAAAGGGCACCAUCUUCCUGUUUAUGUAAGGAAGGAAACUAUUGCCCAGCAAAUGGCCCCUUUUGAGGAACCAAGAAAUCUUUUCCAAGAAAUCUAGUAUCAGUAAGGCCGACAGGCCACAUCUCUGCUCAACUACCGGUACUUCUUGACGAUUCAAACUUCCCUUUUCCCUCAUUAUAAUAAUUGGUAUCCUAUGUUGUGUGCUUACCUUAGGUGGCGGGGUGGCAUAGAAGGGCGGGUUGAGCUUCUUCUGCGGUUGGCAGCGGAACUGGU
Alosa sapidissima (American shad) is the source of this 983-nucleotide long non-coding RNA. RefSeq lists it as uncharacterized. Lineage: Eukaryota; Metazoa; Chordata; Actinopteri; Clupeiformes; Clupeidae. The record is from RefSeq and is a predicted model, not a curated record. The transcript is spliced from 3 exons.